RNAcentral lists this long non-coding RNA (2535 nucleotides) under Heterocephalus glaber (naked mole-rat). RNAcentral describes it as "lncRNA (ENSHGLG00100046935.1)". The record is from RNAcentral. Lineage: Eukaryota; Metazoa; Chordata; Mammalia; Rodentia; Bathyergidae.
CUGACACUGAGCAUGCGCAAGCCCGCCUUUCCCUCUCUAAGCAAUCCUCCCGCCCCGCAUCUUUAAGGGGUUCAGCCGAUGAGCUGUCUCCCCUGUUCUGCAUCCUGAGUCCCGAAAAGCCUCUUCCGAUGGCUGUUCCUCCUAUUCGUGAUUUCUAGCUGAAGUAGCGGGUACUGAGCUGGUACACUAGGAGCCAGUAACACCAAAGGCCCCUGGGACCAAAAGCUACCGGGAGCCUGGGCUGUCGCACUGAAGGUGGCAGCGUCAGAAAACAACGGAGAGCAAGGAGGAAUCGCCAGGAGCAGCCAUCUGCGGUGGUGGGAAGACUCCCGUGGCCUGCUGGUCGCUGCUGGCUCCAAAUGGCAAGGAGGGCUGCUAGCUCCAGAAGAGCUGGGAGCUGCUGGCGUUCAGCGCCCAGGGCUGUUUUUGUAUUCUUUUUCCUCCCCCUCCCCCGAUAGGGUCUUGCAACAUAGUCCAGGCUGGCCUUGAACUCACGGCGAUCCUCCUGCCUCAGCCUCCUGAGUCCUGGGAUUACAGGGCUACACCACCAUACCCAGCUCAAGGCUGUUAACGCUCAAAGAGCUACACGUUGCCAAGUCAUGAUUUCUAUAGGAACUGAGCAAGUGUCCUCAGCUGAUUCUUCCCUUUCAGAGGGCUCUGAAGAAGAGCACGGACAAUGGCUUAAGAGCUGUAUCUGAUUUCCACCUUCCGUGACAGGAGCCCCUGUGCUGGAGGAGCCAGGGCAGAAGGGACAGGGCCCGUCCACCCAGCCAUCUCAGGGAAGGAGGAGGGCGCCAGGCCCCGCGCUGCCGCGAGGGUUCAAGUUCAAUGUCUGCACAGCCCUGCCUGCCCCAGCCCCCAGACCUGCGUCCUGGGCGAGUCUCCUGCCCUGUGGGUGCCUUGGCUUCCUCUCACAGGGGACGGGGAAUAGGCGGGGCAGCGCUCAGCAAAGGCUAACGGUGAAGAGGACUGGAGGAAUAAGGGGGAGACUGACAUGAUGAGGAGAGAUGGCAGUGACAGAGCGCUGAAGGAGAAGGGGCGGGCAGUCCAGAAGGUGACAAGGGAGACGGUAUUUGUUACAGUGACUGAAAGCUGACAAACACAGUGAUGUUCAUUUCUGACCGAUUUAAAUCAAAAUGGAAGCAACUUUAACGUCCAUCCUUGAGCUCCAGUUAGCCUAAGGGACGCAUUCCUGCCUCAGAACUUGUCACACUCUUCAGAAAUGGAGCUUCCAGUAAUACAGGGCAGCUGAGACUAGCAGGCUAUGAGUCAAAGCAGGACCUGCUGUGACAGCCACUGUAUCAUUUCAGUUGCCAACAGGCCCAGAAAAAAACUGCAAGGGAUCUGCCAGCACUCAACAAGCGUUGUCCCUUAGUGACAAGAUUAUGGGAAAUGCUACUUCUCUAUACUUCGCCAAGCUGCCACCAGAGCUAUACAAUCCUUUGGCAAUCAGUAAAAACAAGAGCACAAAAAAAGCCAGGUGUGAUGGCACACACGUGUAAUCUCAGCACUCGGGAGGCUGAGGCAGGAGGACCACAAGUUUGAGUUCAGCUUGGGCUACAUAGUGAGACUCUGUCUUCAAAAACAAAACAGAAAAACCAAACAAAGAAAAACUCAAGAGCGCAAAGGAGAAAAAUUAAGUAGAGCAAAGGAAGAGGUGCCAGGCUGCUCGGGUAGAUAGACAUGGGGAUGCAGGGCUGGGCCACCUGCACCUUGGACGAGCCUCAGGCCUGUCAGAACCAAGAGCUGUGCUUCCCUGCCUUCUCCACGACCAGCCCAACCAAAGCUGGGUUUCUUCCUUCUCAGUGCCCUGGGGCUCCCACUCGACUGUGACCUGUCCUCAUGUGCGGCAGUGGCCCAUCCUGCGUCCUCUUCACCCCCAUGUCCAGCAUCUUCUUGCCAGCCCAGCCAGACGGGAGCUGGUAUUGCAGAUUGGAGCCUCGGUGCAAAUCUGGGCAGUGAAUGAAUGGGCUACUCUCCCCUCGGAGUGUAAGCCGGAGUGGGGACGACGAAGACCCGGCGACCCCAUGCAGACCCAUUUUCCAGAUGAGGCAGAGAGGUGAGCAAACCCAAGCACACAGGGAACCUGGCCCAGGCUGCGUAAUGGUAAGGGGCCCACAGGAACUCAACCGGGGAACCCUGGCUCCCAAAGAAGAGGCAGGCUUUUCUCUAACACCUGGAAGGACAGAAGAGGAAAAAAAAGCCAUCACUACUGAGCAUCUACUGUGUGCACAAGGCAGUGCACAGGACACUCACUGUGGCUCUGGACUCUACAUGAGAGUUCCAGGUGAUUUCAACAAAAGCCACACAAGUCUAUGGAGUGCUGCUUCGCUUUCUUGUCACAGCCCAGGGACACAUGUACCAGCAGUGGGCCUGGGGCUGCACAGAGGGUCCUGUGGGAGGCUGGGGAGCCCACUGGGGCUGUUUCCCCAUCUGUGUGUAGGCCAGGCUGACUGCAGAGUGCCCUUGCAGACAGCUGCUGCCCUCUGGCCUCUCUGGGUCUCCUGGGGCCCAGGGCUGGCCCUUGUCUGGAGA